CAAUGGGCGAAAGCCUGACGGAGCAAUACCGCGUGAGGGAGGAAUGCCUUUGGGUUGUAAACCUCUUUUCUCAGGGAAGAAGAUCUGACGGUACCUGAGGAAUAAGUAUCGGCUAACUCCGUGCCAGCAGCCGCGGUAAUACGGAGGAUGCAAGCGUUAUCCGGAAUCAUUGGGCGUAAAGCGUCCGCAGGUGGUUUCCAAAGUCUGCUGUUAAAGACUGGAGCUCAACUCCGGAACGGCGGUGGAAACUUGGAAACUAGAGUUCGGUAGGGGUAGCAGGAAUUCCCAGUGUAGCGGUGAAAUGCGUAGAUAUUGGGAAGAACAUCGGUGGCGAAGGCGUGCUACUGGACCGUAACUGACACUCAGGGACGAAAGCUAGGGGAGCGAAAGGGAUUAGAUACCCCUGUAGUCCUAGCUGUAAACGAUGGAAACUAGGUGUGGCUUG
RNAcentral lists this ribosomal RNA (445 nucleotides) under uncultured marine microorganism. RNAcentral's name for it is "bacterial SSU rRNA". It matches the Rfam family "Bacterial small subunit ribosomal RNA", at positions 369 to 829 of the family's 1533-position model. The record is from RNAcentral.